AUUUGAACAUACUGUAACUUUUGGACAGAGGCAUCUUGAAUAGUUUUUAAUGUAAAUGCAAAGAGUCCUCUGUGUGGAGCUCCUCUGAGGGCGGACGAUGUAAAAUGCUGAGUCACCCUUACUGAGCUGAAUCAAUGGAUAUACAAGCUAUUAUAUUUAAUCGUGUGCAUUGAAAUGAUGGAAUGCAGCUUAUUCCAGAAUAAAGGCUCCUUCAAAAGUGGAAAUGUUCUUGUCAGGUCACGCUACAGAUCCAUUCAGCUAUGCUUUUCUUCCUUGGAGAAAGUCCAGACUGCAGAAACCGACAUGUGCCCUGCGGAUAUGCAGAGAAAUGAAGAGCUGCCCUGCUUAAGUUCCCAAAAAAACCACAGGUGGUCUACAGAGACAAUCGUCUGGCUUUUGCAAAACCUGGUGAGUCUUUAUUGAGUUUGUAAAGCGGCAGGAGCACUGUGAAGGCCAUCGCACAACAAUUCAGUUUGUGAAAACACCUCCUGCUGCUUUGAUUAAAUUCCCAAAGAUCAGCUUGAUUACUGACCUUUCUGUUGACUAAUGUUCAUGACUUUGACAUCGCUGGACUUUGCGUCCUUUAAACUUUGUGGCAUUUGUAAAUGAUUUGGCACGUUUUAAAUGUUUGCUCAGGCCACUAGCUUAACAGACAUUGCCAGCUAACGACAGGCUGAUCUACCAUUGUUGUUCUAAUCCGACUAUAGAUCAAGAUCUUUACCUGGCUUAUGGAAAGCACAGCACUAAGAUUUGUAAGAAUAACAAUACAAGUGCUAGAAGCUAACUGCGUAAACCCUGAUAAGCUUUUGCUAGCAAUCUUGAAGCCACCUCAGAAAACAAUAACACAGACAUAAUUUAGGAAAGUGGUAUUGUUUUCUCUCUCUGGCUCGUUCCUGGAAUCACAUGGCAUCUUAAUCGCAUUAUUCAAGGUGCCAGGUCGAAUGUGACUGCCACUGUUCUACACUAGCAAGUGGCCCAGUUUAUAGCACUAAUCCUGCUCUAAUACUAGCACGACUGAUGUACUGUAACCUCUCACACACAUAAACUCCAUCAACCGCUGUGGCUCUUCAUUCAGAACACCACUGAAGGCUUCCAUUCAUCACAAAGUUAGUUAAAGCAUGUCACAAAAAUAAAAUAAAAAACUUUUAAUUUAAAGAGAUUCA
This is a long non-coding RNA of Cyprinus carpio (common carp), 1163 nucleotides long. Lineage: Eukaryota; Metazoa; Chordata; Actinopteri; Cypriniformes; Cyprinidae. The record is from Ensembl.